Caenorhabditis elegans is the source of this 287-nucleotide non-coding RNA. Lineage: Eukaryota; Metazoa; Nematoda; Chromadorea; Rhabditida; Rhabditidae. The record is from Ensembl.
UGGUCGCCGUCGUCGUUCUCUAUCCGUCCGUUACCAUGGUCUAUGAAAGAAAAGAGAGAGGUGGAGAUGGAGAGAAUGUUCUCAUCAUCAUCUUUCCCUCUCUCGGUGGCCCAAUAACUACCCCACCCCAACACAGACACCCCAACACACACCACUUCUCUUUUCUCGUCCUCCACUUUUGCAAAACAAGUGACUAGUGGAGGGAGAGAUGAGUGGAGUUAGGGGAAGAAGGGGUGAAUAUGGGCAAAAAACCGCGAGAGAGAUAUGGUGAACGAGAGAGAGAGAGA